This 263-nucleotide ribosomal RNA is filed under the name uncultured bacterium. RNAcentral describes it as "partial 16S ribosomal RNA". It matches the Rfam family "Bacterial small subunit ribosomal RNA", at positions 524 to 786 of the family's 1533-position model. The record is from RNAcentral.
UACGUAGGGGGCGAGCGUUGUCCGGAAUCAUUGGGCGUAAAGCGCGUGUAGGCGGCCGACCAAGUCCGGUGUGAAAGCUCAGGGCUCAACCCUGAGUCUGCACUGGAAACUGGCCGGCUUGAGUCCGGAAGAGGAGACUGGAAUUCCUGGUGUAGCGGUGAAAUGCGCAGAUAUCAGGAAGAACACCGGUGGCGAAGGCGGGUCUCUGGGACGGUACUGACGCUGAGACGCGAAAGCGUGGGGAGCAAACAGGAUUAGAUACC